This is a long non-coding RNA of Halichondria panicea, 1416 nucleotides long. RefSeq lists it as uncharacterized. NCBI's taxonomy places the organism in Eukaryota, Metazoa, Porifera, Demospongiae, Suberitida, Halichondriidae. The transcript is spliced from 5 exons. The record is from RefSeq and is a predicted model, not a curated record.
CCGGCCGUAAUAAACGUACAUUGAAACCUAGUGAGGGGCAGCCAGUACACGGAAUAUAGCGAGUGGCCGCAUUUCAGGAUCUACGUACAACACUCCAAUAGAGCUGGGUCAGGAUCCCAGAGACCAGAGUUGUUACAAGUGACAGUCACUGCACCCACCGGUGAGAACCCAGGAUCACAUUGGAAGGUAAAGACUGAACCUUCAGUCAAGUUAGUGUUCUGAGACGUGGUGUUGAGUAAAGCUCCAUUGAGUGGAUGGGCAGGCAGGACACACGAAACUGGGUAUACACAAAAUGGAGGAUGUUCAUGAAUAAUGAAGUCACUUACUGGAAUCAUUUCUGCAGACGAUCUCCCCCGGGAUCCUGUCCCACUCUCCCGUAGCUAGACAGGUGGCAGUCAUUAUCCCCCCAGGGAACAGUCCAGCGUCACACUGGAAGGUCACAUAAGUACCAGGAAUAGCUGGUACUGAAUGAUCACUGAUGGUGCCAUUCCGUGGUGAGGAUAGUGGAACUGUGCAGUUCAUUGGAGCUAUGAGGUGAAAACAUAAUAAGUUUUGUAAAAACCAAGAACUCAACUCACGAGUUGUGGGAGGGAGUGUGGGUAGUAAUGUACACUCAAUAGCCUCAGAGUCUGGACUCCACAUCAGUGCAUCAUCACAUGUCACCAUAGCAAUAGCAGAUAUAUAUCCAGCGUCACACUGGAUGGUUACUGUGGAUCCUGAUAAUCUGCUGAAGACUGGUCCAAAGGCUCCAUUCAUGGGGUUAGUCAACACAGGACAGCCACCUGCAUGAGAGGGAAGUUGUGCACAGCAUAAUUUCAAGCCAUUACGUACUCACCGAUCCUAAAGCUGUACUCAGCAGUUGUACUGGAUGAUGUGUGGACUCACACUAUUACAAAUCAGGAGAGCCGUGGAGAAGGUUGCCUGCCCAAGUCGCUGGGUGAGGGAGUGUUUAAGAGACACCUCGAGCUGCAUCUUCUAUGGACUGACUGAGCAGUGACAAUGCCUGGUGCAGUUUGCUGGAGUGGACUGUCUCACUUCACUCUUCUGUCAGCUGCUGGGGAGAAUGAUCCUCAGAGGGAGAAUAAAACAACAUAAUCCAAUGAAUCUUGACAAGUCUGAAAGAACAGUAUACAAUGUACAAUUAUAUAGCUUGUUGUUUUUCUUACAUUUGAAGCAAUAUAAUUAUGUGUACGUUUACUCUUUGUUCAUCAGUUUAAAUAAUUAUGUGAACAGAUGCAGCUAUUGUUUGCAUUGUUCUCAAUUAUACAUAUCCGAUGCUGAAUAUAAACAAUGCCAUUAUUAUUUUAUGAAAGUUGCAAAUAACAAUUUAUAAUUAUACUGAAAGCUAGGGUAUAAUAAAUUAUUAUUACCGCACAUCGAGGCAUAAUUAAUAACUGCAUGCUGAGCUUGAUUGAU